AGAGUUUGAUCAUGGCUCAGAACGAACGCUGGCGGCAGGCUUAACACAUGCAAGUCGAACGCACCGCAAGGUGAGUGGCAGACGGGUGAGUAACGCGUGGGAACCUUCCCUGUGGUACGGAAUAACUUCGGGAAACCGAAGCUAAUACCGUAUAUCUCCUCCGGGAGAAAGAUUUAUCGCCAUAGGAUGGGCCCGCGUUGGAUUAGCUAGUUGGUGGGGUAAAAGCCUACCAAGGCAACGAUCCAUAGCUGGUCUGAGAGGAUGAUCAGCCACACUGGGACUGAGACACGGCCCAGACUCCUACGGGAGGCAGCAGUGGGGAAUAUUGGACAAUGGGCGCAAGCCUGAUCCAGCCAUGCCGCGUGAGUGAAGAAGGCCUUAGGGUUGUAAAGCUCUUUCGCCAGGGACGAUAAUGACGGUACCUGGAUAAGAAGCCCCGGCUAACUUCGUGCCAGCAGCCGCGGUAAUACGAAGGGGGCUAGCGUUGUUCGGAAUCACUGGGCGUAAAGCGCACGCAGGCGGAUUGAUAAGUCAGGGGUGAAAUCCCGGGGCUCAACCUCGGAAUUGCCUUUGAUACUGUCUAUCUUGAGUUCGGGAGAGGUUGGCGGAAUUCCUAGUGUAGAGGUGAAAUUCGUAGAUAUUAGGAAGAACACCAGUGGCGAAGGCGGCCNCUGGCCCGAUACUGACGCUCAUGUGCGAAAGCGUGGGGAGCAAACAGGAUUAGAUACCCUAGUAGUCC
This 739-nucleotide ribosomal RNA is filed under the name uncultured bacterium. RNAcentral describes it as "bacterial SSU rRNA". It matches the Rfam family "Bacterial small subunit ribosomal RNA", at positions 8 to 796 of the family's 1533-position model. The record is from RNAcentral.